AUAAUACUGGAUAUUAGGCUAUGCCUGGAAUGGUUUGCCUUUGAAAUGUUUUUUUUCGCCUAAGGAUAGGUCUGCGGCUGAUUAGGUCGCUGGUGGGGUAAUGGCCCACCAAGCCGAUGAUCGGUACGGGUUGUGAGAGCAAGGGCCCGGAGAUGGAACCUGAGACAAGGUUCCAGACCCUACGGGGUGCAGCAGGCGCGAAACCUCCGCAAUGUACGAAAGUGCGACGGGGGGAUCCCAAGUGUUAUGCUUUUUUGUAUGACUUUUCAUUAGUGUAAAAAGCUUUUAGAAUAAGAGCUGGGCAAGACCGGUGCCAGCCGCCGCGGUAACACCGGCAGCUCGAGUGGUAGCUGUUUUUAUUGGGCCUAAAGCGUUCGUAGCCGGUUUGAUAAGUCUUUGGUGAAAGCUUGUAGCUUAACUAUAAGAAUUGCUGGAGAUACUAUUAGACUUGAAGUCGGGAGAGGUUAGAGGUACUACCGGGGUAGGGGUGAAAUCCUAUAAUCCUGGGAGGACCACCUGUGGCGAAGGCGUCUAACUGGAACGAUCUUGACGGUGAGUAACGAAAGCCAGGGGCGCGAACCGGAUUAGGUACCCGGGUAGUCCUGGCCGUAAACGAUGUGGACUUGGUGUUGGAAUGGCUUUGAGUUGUUCCGGUGCCGAAGGGAAGCUGUUAAGUCCACCGCCUGGGAAGUACGGUCGCAAGACUGAAACUUAA
This 715-nucleotide ribosomal RNA is filed under the name uncultured archaeon. Its description in RNAcentral is "bacterial SSU rRNA". It matches the Rfam family "Archaeal small subunit ribosomal RNA", at positions 146 to 859 of the family's 1478-position model. The record is from RNAcentral.